AACGCAGCGAAGGGCGAUAGUAAUGUGAAUUGCAGAAUUCAGUGAAUCAUCGAAUCUUUAAACGCACCUUGCACCCUUUGGUAUUCCGAAGGGUACACCCGUUUGAGUGUCAUUGUAAUCUCACCCCAAAAUUCUUUUUUGGGUGUGGACUUGGAUGCUGCCGAUCCGUCGGCUCGUCUGGAAUGUCUCAGUGUACCCCGCUCGUCGGCGUAAACAGUGUGAUAAGUAUCUUCACUGGUCAGCCUCUCCGGAGGUGCGCUUUCAGGUGGGCUCCUGCGCUUACAACCGUCUUCGGACAAAUCUCUGACAAUUUGACCUCAAAUCGGGUGGGAUUACCCGCUGAACCUAA
This 349-nucleotide ribosomal RNA is filed under the name uncultured fungus. Its description in RNAcentral is "eukaryotic LSU rRNA". The stretch from base 1 to 112 matches the Rfam family "5.8S ribosomal RNA", at positions 42 to 154 of the family's 154-position model. Lineage: Eukaryota; Fungi. The record is from RNAcentral.